UACGUAGGUGGCAAGCGUUGUCCGGAUUUACUGGGUGUAAAGGGUGCGCAGGCGGGACUGCAAGUUGGAUGUGAAAUACCGAGGCUUAACCUCGGGGCUGCAUCCAAAACUGUGGUUCUUGAGUGGAGUAGAGGUAAGCGGAAUUCCGAGUGUAGCGGUGAAAUGCGUAGAUAUUCGGAGGAACACCAGUGGCGAAGGCGGCUUACUGGGCUCUAACUGACGCUGAGGCACGAAAGCAUGGGUAGCAAAC
Molecule: ribosomal RNA, 250 nt
Filed under: uncultured bacterium
Lineage: Bacteria
Description: partial 16S ribosomal RNA
Rfam family: Bacterial small subunit ribosomal RNA
Source: RNAcentral